Penaeus indicus is the source of this 3082-nucleotide long non-coding RNA. RefSeq lists it as uncharacterized. The record is from RefSeq and is a predicted model, not a curated record. Lineage: Eukaryota; Metazoa; Arthropoda; Malacostraca; Decapoda; Penaeidae. The transcript is spliced from 3 exons.
GAACAGUUUGAGAGUGAAUACUGGCUCGACAACACGUACAUAAGGACUGAUCUGUGGACUUCUGUUAAAGGCCUUGACUGUUCCCGCUAUGCGUUUGACCGCAUUCAAAUAAAUUGAGAAGCGAGUACGACACAGUGGUAUCAGUCACCUCGAGUUAACGCAAAUAAUCCAAGCGUGUGAAAUGGCGCUUACAGUCAAACGCAGAGGGAGAUCGUUGCUGUUACGUUGCCGUGACGAUAAAGAGACGGACAGAAGGAGCGAACUGCGGUAAGUCUACGGAAGUGCACGGUGUUUAACGGGUCCUCAUGCAUCGAGGAAAAUAACGGGUCCUCAUGUGAUGAGGAAAAUAACGGGUCCUCAGGUAGUGAGGAAAAUAACGGGUCCUCAGGUAGUGAGGAAAAUAACGGGUCCUCAGGUAGUGAGGAGAAUAACGGGUCCUCAUGUGAUGAGGAAAAUAACUGGUCCUCAUGGGAUGAGGAAAUUAACAGGUCUUCAUGUGGUGGGGAAAAUAACGGGUCUUCAUGUGAUGAGGAAAAUAAUAGGUCUAAUUAAUGAUCACAAAGUUUCUGCUAAUAUUUGAGCACUCCAGAGAAAUCUGUGUUCAUGCAUGUCCUGUCCGUGCUCGUAAUAGAGUCUCUGUUCCGUUUUUCUGCCGUAUCCUUGCUGUUGCAGAUCCCGAGAACAUGAUGCGAUGCAGAGUUCCUGCCAGAUUACUUCCCUGAUGACUUCCCUGUGUGAUGGGAUGACGUUAUGGAAAGAUGUGUCCUGACUUGUCAUCAUAACUGAUGUCUACGCCACUGCCUGGAAAUCACUGCCUCCUUGGCUGACAUUCAUCGGUAGCAAAGGAUCCUGUCUUAAUAGUUGACAUUCUGGUGCAUAGUGAUUUGUUUGAUGACUGAUACGUGAGGGUGCUUAAUGAGUGGAGCCAUGUUGCAUCGGCAUCCUAGUGAAACCUUUGGAAAAAAAUGUAGAUGAAAACUUCGACGAGAACCUUCAGAUAAUUAUUCAGCGAAAACACAUACACAUUUGCAGUACAGAAACGAUCGUUACUAAGUGUAAGGCAUAAUGUUUUUAGUCGCUGUCUUUGCCUGAGUGAUUGCUUGUAUUCUGAUCUUGGUAUAUAUAUAGUAGAACCUACAACGCCAUAACACACAUUGUAUUGUUGAGUCCUGGAGAGGUUUUUUAAUCUCGGCGGCCAAAAGUUCUGGGAGGAGUUCAAUUUUUGUAUACAAGAGGUUGCAUUCUCUCCCUGUGACUGGGACGUGGAGUUUUUUCCCUUGUCCGGCAACAAUACAGAUGAGGAUCAUUGUAACUGAUUGUUAAUUCGUGGGAGAUCUGAUGUUAGGUUUGCACCUGUUGUUACUGAUAUAGAAACCAUGAAGACAAGGCAAAGGGAUAUGAGAAAAUAUAGGAUUCAAGCUGUGCUGUGCAUCUGUUGUAACAAUUCUCUAACUCAUUUCGGAAGUGAUGUAUAUGAGGAAUAUAGAAGAGCCUCUCGGGGGUGGCGGUCUAUGCCAAUACCUGGACUAUACCGUUCCCAGCGCCGGGCAAGAGUUUUGUGUUGUUUGAGACACUCCGUGCUCAAUCAAUGGGGGGAGUGUAGCCGCUGUUAUCAAAAUCGGCAUGGCGUACCCGCUGGCAUCAGCAUCACGUGUAUAACAUCUGUAGCCACUGCCAUCAGCAUCGGUAUGGCGUAGCUGCUGGCUUCAGCAUCACGCGUACAUCAUCCCCUCUAGGACCUGGUUGACGGUUUCUUCAUGGGUUGCGAUAAGGAUAAUGGCAUGGCCGUGUUCCUCCAUGUGUUUGUAUGUGCUGAAUUAGGCCUUGUCCCUAAUGUUGACGUAUAAAUGAAGGAAGGGCGUCUCACGAAAGGGGGGCCAUAACAGGUUAUAGAACAGUUUGAGAGUGAAUACUGGCUCGACAACACGUACAUAAGGACUGAUCUGUGGACUUCUGUUAAAGGCCUUGACUGUUCCCGCUAUGCGUUUGACCGCAUUCAAAUAAAUUGAGAAGCGAGUACGACGCAGUGGUAUCAGUCACCUCGAGUUAACGCAAAUAAUCCGAGCGUGUGAAAUGGCGCUUACAGUCAAACGCAGAGGGAGAUCGUUGCUGUUACGUUGCCGUGACGAUAAAGAGACGGACAGAAGGAGCGAACUGCGGUAAGUCUACGGAAGUGCACGGUGUUUAACGGGUCCUCAUGCAUCGAGGAAAAUAACGGGUCCUCAUGUGAUGAGGAAAAUAACGGGUCCUCAGGUAGUGAGGAAAAUAACGGGUCCUCAGGUAGUGAGGAAAAUAACGGGUCCUCAGGUAGUGAGGAGAAUAACGGGUCCUCAUGUGAUGAGGAAAAUAACUGGUCCUCAUGGGAUGAGGAAAUUAACAGGUCUUCAUGUGGUGGGGAAAAUAACGGGUCUUCAUGUGAUGAGGAAAAUAAUAGGUCUAAUUAAUGAUCACAAAGUUUCUGCUAAUAUUUGAGCACUCCAGAGAAAUCUGUGUUCAUGCAUGUCCUGUCCGUGCUCGUAAUAGAGUCUCUGUUCCGUUUUUCUGCCGUAUCCUUGCUGUUGCAGAUCCCGAGAACAUGAUGCGAUGCAGAGUUCCUGCCAGAUUACUUCCCUGAUGACUUCCCUGUGUGAUGGGAUGACGUUAUGGAAAGAUGUGUCCUGACUUGUCAUCAUAACUGAUGUCUACGCCACUGCCUGGAAAUCACUGCCUCCUUGGCUGACAUUCAUCGGUAGCAAAGGAUCCUGUCUUAAUAGUUGACAUUCUGGUGCAUAGUGAUUUGUUUGAUGACUGAUACGUGAGGGUGCUUAAUGAGUGGAGCCAUGUUGCAUCGGCAUCCUAGUGAAACCUUUGGAAAAAACUGUAGAUGAAAACUUCGACGAGAACCUUCAGAUAAUUAUUCAGCGAAAACACAUACACAUUUGCAGUACAGAAACGAUCGUUACCAAGUGUAAGGCAUAAUGUUUUUAGUCGCUGUCUUUGCCUGAGUGAUUGCUUGUAUUCUGAUCCUGGUAUAUAUAUAGUAGAACCUACAACGCCAUAACACACAUUGUAUUGCUGAGUCCUGGAGAGGUUUUUUAAUCUC